UGGGGAAUAUUGGACAAUGGGCGAAAGCCUGAUCCAGCCAUGCCGCGUGUGUGAAGAAGGCCUUUUGGUUGUAAAGCACUUUAAGCGAGGAGGAGGCUACUUAGAUUAAUACUCUAGGAUAGUGGACGUUACUCGCAGAAUAAGCACCGGCUAACUCUGUGCCAGCAGCCGCGGUAAUACAGAGGGUGCGAGCGUUAAUCGGAUUUACUGGGCGUAAAGCGUGCGUAGGCGGCUUUUUAAGUCGGAUGUGAAAUCCCUGAGCUUAACUUAGGAAUUGCAUUCGAUACUGGGAAGCUAGAGUAUGGGAGAGGAUGGUAGAUUUCCAGGUGUAGCGGUGAAAUGCGUAGAGAUCUGGAGGAAUACCGAUGGCGAAGGCAGCCAUCUGGCCUAAUACUGACGCUGAGGUACGAAAGCAUGGGGAGCAAACAGG
RNAcentral lists this ribosomal RNA (430 nucleotides) under bacterium. Its description in RNAcentral is "partial 16S ribosomal RNA". It matches the Rfam family "Bacterial small subunit ribosomal RNA", at positions 355 to 776 of the family's 1533-position model. The record is from RNAcentral.